UGCAUUGUUGUCACAAGCUAAGAUUUUGCCAAAGAACCUGAAGCACAAUAAGCAAACCUUAAUUGUUAACGGUAUAAACUUACCAUCUUCCUUAGUAUUUUGUUCACAUUACUCAAAUUAAAUACUACUAUGAAGAAGACUCUCGGUAAAUGUCUCAUUAAAUAAAUAGUGCAAAUGCAUUUCACAGAAAUCACACUCACAGAUCCAUUUGUGUAAAUACCUUUGGUAACUUGCUUGUGGAAUUAUUCAAAUUGAAAAUGUCAUAACAAGCAAAAAGCAAAGAACAUAAUUUAUACCUGAUUCUCUUCUGUAGAAACCUCACCAAUCAUUAUUCAUAAUAAAAGGAACUUUAAUUGCUAAAAAAAUAGAAAAUAUCAAGUACACUGAAAAGUAACUUUGAGUUGUAGAAGGAAAGGAGAAACUACUUCUUCCCUUAAUAUAUUAUAACUUAGGUAUUUUAAGAAGUCAGCAAACCCUUGGAUAUCUUUCAGGGAAUCUUCCUACUAACUGGAAAUUAGGAGUUGAUUUCCUCCUUUAUAGUGUCUUACAUUUUGAUCGUGUUAAAAUUAAUAUCCUCAUUUUGUCAUAUUUAAUUAGUAAAUGCUUUCGUAUCAUCAGUAUGUCACUUUACCUACAAUCUUUGUUUCGGCAAUACACCAUCUACAAUGAAUUUCAUUGUUAGUUAUUGUCAUUUAUUAUGAGAUCAAAUAUAGUCACCUUGUCCUUUCUGUCAAUAAUAUUAGUACUUGAAGAGACUUAUCAGAUCGAACAACUUACAAUUGUUGGAACUUAGGGAACAUAUUUAAGACAUAUGAAAUAGCCUAGAAGACUCAAAAAACAACACUACUUAAAGAGUUAAUGUUCACUGAUUUUAUGUUCUAACAAAUUCUUUAACAUCUAAUGAGUUUUCAUUAAAUAUUAGAGGCAACUAAUAUAUUAUAAAGAUAUGCGGCAAAACAUCAUCAAAACUAAAUCAUUCUUUAGCCACUACAUAACACCUUCAUAUUUAUAGAGCAUAAAAUAAAACCAUAUAGAUGAUUCCUUGUGCAUGCUAGAAACAACUUACCAUUAAACUCUUUAUAAAGCUUGUCCUGUUAGUACCCUUUUGCCAAGAUCAUUUCUCCAUAUUCUUCUUCAUUUCUUCUUCUUUUUUUCUCGGACGCUGAAUCUAUUUAGUGAUAGCAAGCACAAUAUUAACUUUUUAUUGUAAAAAUAACUAAAUUUAACUUAAGGGAAUCAAUAUGGAAGAGCUUAAAAGUAAUAUAAAAUUGAAAUUUUUCUGCUCAAUUUUCAACAAUGCAAAAGAAAUUUUAACUUUUUAACAAGUGGACUUCUUCAAACACCUGAUGGUGUUAGAUAUGUAAGCAUAAGAUAAAUGUAAAGAAUCAUAACCAUAAUACAAAACCCAAAAAGUAUACAGUUACACGAUGCUAUUAUAGUGUGACUCCUAUUAUGUGUAAUCAUGUUAUGACAACAUCAUCUUACAAGGAAAAAUUUCUAUAUUUUCCUUGGUCACAUGAUAAGACAAAUGUAUUAGUGAGAUAAUUAAAGACACUAAGCUUACGAAAUAUCUUGUUUUCACCUAUAGGCUCUUCCAUAUAUAAUGUUGCUACAUCUUCCCCGGCCUACUCCACAUCCUCGAAAGGUACUCGAAUCUGGAGAAUAAACUCAAUUACUUGAGAACUUGCCUAUAGCCUAUCCAACUUUGAUAAUGAUUUCGUUUGCUGCACUCCUAUUACAUUGUCAAAGUGGUGCAUCAACAAUGGUUUUCUUUGGGGUAAGCAAGUGGCAAGAGCUACUAAUUUGAGAGACAUUUAAGCAAUUGGAAGAUAGCAUCUUAAGUUAAUGUGCAGGUUUGUUGAAACUAAUUGCAGAGCCAAACAACUGUAGUCGUAACAGUGAAGUGUGUCUUGUUGUCUAUAUAUAGAGAUUCCUAUUACUAAAAACAUGAAUAUUGAUAUUUGGCUAGUGUUCUUGCGUAGAGUUUUACGUAUUUGUAAUGAAUUUGUAUCUCAUAUAUUUUAGUAUAUUCCUAAAAUAUAUAUUGAAGAGCAAGCAUAUUUCUGUAGGAAUAUAUGUUCCAGAAUUCAGUAGUUCCAUAACGCCAAUUUACAACUCAACUUAGUAAUAUAUUUGAAUUCUACUAACAGAAAAUUAUAAAAUCAACUACAGUCAAAAUAAUGAACUUCAUCCAAAGAAAGCUACAAUAUCAUAUCAGUAUAAACCACCAGAUCUAACUAAUGCAUAUGAAAAAACAUGAGACCAAAAUAAAAGUAGCAACAAAAAUAUGGUGAGAAAGUAAACAAAUGUGAGAAAUCGGGAUAAUCACGCAGACAAAAUGAAGAAUUCUCCCACUAAACCAUUAAGAUGGUGGCAGUAAUUAACACAUAAUAUUAUGUUAGCUUAGAGUGCAUAAUGGCGAAGCUCUAAAAAUGUUAAACCACCGGACAUGGCGAACAGAAUCAAUAGAUAUUUUAAAGUUUUUUUUUUGGGUUCAACAAUCAAUAGAAAUAAAUGGUCAGAUUGAGAAAAAGAGACCGCCUCAAAACAAAAAUGUGUCACGGGAAAAGAGAGGAUCCCUAUUGAGGUUCACCUGAUCUACAGAAUUCCAGAGCAUGAAGGUUUAAAGGCAGUAAAUUCAGAAUAGAAUUGCUACUCCACCACUAAAGCUCAACCAAAACCGUCUGAUGCAAACAAUACAUGCUAGACAUCUAUGACCCUCGUCAAUUUUCAUGUGAUUCAUUACAUUAUCUAAUAAUGCAGAGACACCAAAAUCAAGAAAAAUGAGAGACAUAUUAAAGGUAAGUUUCAUACCUUAGAACAUGGAGACCGUCUUCUUUGUCCGAUUGAGUCUUGUCAUUCAUACGUACCAGGAAGCUAGCCUGUAAACUUUAAAGUAGAACUUCCUAUUACCACAGAACACCAACAAUCCAUUCAUAUGAUCUCACGACUUUGUUUAUCAUAACAUCAAUGACAAAAAAUAAUUUACCAACUUGCCAACUGAUUCGUGCUAGUCCGUGCCAAUUUUCAGAAAAAGAGAU
This 3041-nucleotide long non-coding RNA is filed under the name Solanum tuberosum (potato). RNAcentral's name for it is "long non-coding RNA (STUB_LNC010467)". Lineage: Eukaryota; Viridiplantae; Streptophyta; Magnoliopsida; Solanales; Solanaceae. The record is from RNAcentral.